RNAcentral lists this ribosomal RNA (317 nucleotides) under uncultured Desulfovibrio sp. Its description in RNAcentral is "bacterial SSU rRNA". It matches the Rfam family "Bacterial small subunit ribosomal RNA", at positions 30 to 334 of the family's 1533-position model. The record is from RNAcentral. Lineage: Bacteria; Pseudomonadati; Thermodesulfobacteriota; Desulfovibrionia; Desulfovibrionales; Desulfovibrionaceae.
AUUGAACGCUGGCGACGUGCUUAACACAUGCAAGUCGAGCGAGAAAGUUCUCUUCGGAGAGCGAGUAGAGCGGCGCACGGGUGAGUAACGCGUGGAUGAUCUACCCCGAGACUGGGAUAACAGUUGGAAACGACUGCUAAUACCAGAUGUUCUCAUUUUCACCUUUUGAGGUAAAGGUGGCCUCUAUUUAUAAGCUACCGCUUGGGGAUGAGUCCGCGUUUCAUUAGAUUGUUGGUGGGGUAAUGGCCUACCAAGUCUACGAUGAAUAGCUGGUCAGAGAGGAUGAUCAGCCACACUGGAACUGAAACACGGUCCAG